GACGAACCACACAAACGUUAUUCGGAAUUACUGGGCUUAAAGGGUGCGUAGGCGGCGCGGAAAGUUGGGUGUGAAAUCCCUCGGCUCAACCGAGGAACUGCGCCCAAAACUACCGUGCUUGAGGGAGAUAGAGGUGAGCGGAACUUAGGGUGGAGCGGUGAAAUGCGUUGAUAUCCUAAGGAACACCCGUGGCGAAAGCGGCUCACUGGGUCUUCUCUGACGCUGAGGCACGAAAGCUAGGGUAGCGAACGGG
RNAcentral lists this ribosomal RNA (253 nucleotides) under uncultured bacterium. Its description in RNAcentral is "partial 16S ribosomal RNA". It matches the Rfam family "Bacterial small subunit ribosomal RNA", at positions 524 to 776 of the family's 1533-position model. The record is from RNAcentral.